CAUAUCCUAAUGAGUAAAUAUUUAAUAUUAGGUGAUGCCUGCCCAGUGAAAAAAAUUAUAUUUAAACGGCCGCAGUACUCUAACUGUGCUAAGGUAGCAUAAUUAAUUGGCUUUUAAUUGAAGUCUGUAUGAAUGGCUAAACGUAGAAUUUCUGUCUUUAGAAAGUUUUCAAAAAUAAAUUUAUUAAAUAGGUGAAAAUACCUUUUAUUAGAGAAAAGACGAGAAGACCCUAAGAAUUUAUAAACUAAAAUUUUGUUGGGGCAACACUGAAUCAGAAAAAAUUGAAAAAUCUUCAGAAAAAAAAUAAAUAAAUAUUACCGAAAUGUAAUUUGUUUUCGUGAAUAAUUAAAUUACCUUAGGGAUAACAGCAUAAUUUUAUUUAAAAGAUUGUGACCUCGAUGUUGGACUAAGGUAUCUUAGAGUAGAAAUUCUAAGUUUUUAGCUCUGUUCGAGCGAAUUUAAACCUUACGUGAUCUGAGUUCAGACC
RNAcentral lists this ribosomal RNA (487 nucleotides) under Turbonilla sp. AD-2009. Its description in RNAcentral is "partial 16S ribosomal RNA". It matches the Rfam family "Bacterial large subunit ribosomal RNA", at positions 1814 to 2617 of the family's 2925-position model. The record is from RNAcentral. Lineage: Eukaryota; Metazoa; Mollusca; Gastropoda; Pyramidellidae.